RNAcentral lists this ribosomal RNA (2411 nucleotides) under Triticum aestivum (bread wheat). RNAcentral describes it as "partial small subunit ribosomal RNA". The stretch from base 2353 to 2411 matches the Rfam family "tRNA", at positions 1 to 59 of the family's 71-position model. The record is from RNAcentral. Lineage: Eukaryota; Viridiplantae; Streptophyta; Magnoliopsida; Poales; Poaceae.
UACUAAAAUCUCCUUUUGGUGGAGAAGGGUGGAUUGUUAGUGUAGAUGAUUUAGAAGAUAUAAUUGGUGGGCAUGUAUGGUUGGGUUUUAUUUGUGUAUUUGGCGGAAUUUGGCAUAUUUUAACCAAACCCUUCGCAUGGGCUCGCCGUGCAUUUGUAUGGUCUGGAGAAGCUUACUUGUCUUAUAGUUUAGCUGCUUUAUCUGUCUUUGGUUUUAUCGCUUGUUGUUUUGUAUGGUUCAAUAAUACAGCUUAUCCGAGUGAGUUUUAUGGACCCACCGGGCCAGAAGCUUCUCAAGCUCAAGCAUUUACUUUUCUAGUUAGAGACCAGCGUCUUGGAGCUAAUGUGGGAUCCGCUCAAGGACCCACAGGUUUAGGUAAAUAUCUAAUGCGUUCCCCAACUGGGGAGGUUAUCUUUGGAGGGGAAACUAUGCGUUUUUGGGACCUUCGUGCUCCAUGGUUAGAACCUCUAAGGGGCCCCAACGGUUUGGACUUGAGUAGGUUGAAAAAGACAUACAACCUUGGCAAGAACGACGCUCAGCAGAAUAUAUGACCCACGCUCCUUUAGGCUCUUUAAAUUCCGUGGGUGGCGUAGCUACCGAGAUCAAUGCAGUUAAUUAUGUCUCUCCUAGAAGUUGGUUAUCAACUUCUCAUUUUGUUCUAGGAUUCUUCUUUUUUGUGGGCCAUUUAUGGCAUGCAGGAAGAGCCCGAGCUGCUGCAGCAGGUUUUGAAAAGGGAAUCGAUCGUGAUUUGGAACCUGUUCUUUACAUGAACCCUCUUAACUAAGAUUUUCUUAUUUAUACCUGUUCUACUUUUUUUCUUUUCUAGUUAGAGACCAGCGUCUUGGAGCUAAUGUGGGAUCCGCUCAAGGACCCACAGGUUUAGGUAAAUAUCUAAUGCGUUCCCCAACUGGGGAGGUUAUCUUUGGAGGGGAAACUAUGCGUUUUUGGGACCUUCGUGCUCCAUGGUUAGAACCUCUAAGGGGCCCCAACGGUUUGGACUUGAGUAGGUUGAAAAAAGACAUACAACCUUGGCAAGAACGACGCUCAGCAGAAUAUAUGACCCACGCUCCUUUAGGCUCUUUAAAUUCCGUGGGUGGCGUAGCUACCGAGAUCAAUGCAGUUAAUUAUGUCUCUCCUAGAAGUUGGUUAUCAACUUCUCAUUUUGUUCUAGGAUUCUUCUUUUUUGUGGGCCAUUUAUGGCAUGCAGGAAGAGCCCGAGCUGCUGCAGCAGGUUUUGAAAAGGGAAUCGAUCGUGAUUUGGAACCUGUUCUUUACAUGAACCCUCUUAACUAAGAUUUUCUUAUUUAUACCUGUUCUACUUAUUUUCUGUUCUGGCUCGGUUAUUCCAUCUAGCCGAGCCAUUCAUUCCUUUUUAUGAAAGAAAGAUAAGGGACAGAAAAAAAAAAAAAAUGAAAGAAACAAACGUAUUCAAUAAGCAAAAGGAGAGAGAGGGAUUCGAACCCUCGAUAGUUCCUAGAACUAUACCGGUUUUCAAGACCGGAGCUAUCAACCACUCAGCCAUCUCUCCACAGCCUAAUCCUUAUUUUACUCCUACAAAUAGAACAUAGCCAUAUAAAAAAUAAAAAGAUUUAUUAGCCUCUAGAAAGAUAUCAGAUACAAGUUCCUUUUCGAUAUAUCUCUGUAUACUGUAUACACGGAUACAGGAUCCGCUAUACCCGCUUGUGAAAUAAAGAGUAAAUAAUCUCUUCUCACCCCCAUAUCCAAAUAAAAAAGCGGUUUAAGUAAUAAAUUUGAAUUAAAGAGAAGAAUCAAUGGAUUCAUGAUUAAACCCCUCCUACUUCUUGUAUUUUUUUACAAUUUUGGUUUAAGUGAGGGAUCAAAUAUGUAGUCAACUUUAUUUGAUGGUAGCUUGGAGGAUUAGAAAUAUGACUAUUGCUUUCCAAUUAGCUGUUUUUGCAUUAAUUGCGACUUCCUCAGUCUUAGUAAUUAGUGUACCCCUUGUAUUUGCUUCUCCUGAUGGUUGGUCAAAUAAUAAAAAUGUUGUAUUUUCCGGUACAUCAUUAUGGAUUGGACUAGUCUUUCUCGUAGCUAUUCUGAAUUCUCUCAUUUCUUAAAUUAAAUUUGGUUAAUAUUUAUUAACCCCAUAAAAAAGAAAUAAUAAAGGCCAUUUCUUCUAAAAAAUUAGAAUAGUGAGACGUAUUAAAACGCAAUUUGCGUUCCGAAUUGCUAGCUCUUCUCUUUCAGUAUUAUGAAAUUCCAUUCCCAUUAGAAUAUUCAUUCACAGAUAAUAAAAAAAGGAAAACUCUAAUAUAAUAGAAAAUGAAAUGAAACGGUCGACCCAGACAUAGAAGGUCGACCCAGGCGGAUAUACGCUAUAAAAUAUAUACCGUAGCGAGCGUAGUUCAAUGGUAAAAUAUCUCCUUGCCAAGGAGAAGAUACGGGUUCGAUUC